CCAAUAGCGUAUAUUAAAGUUGUUGCAGUUAAAAAGCUCGUAGUUGAAUUUCGGGAUCAAUAUGUCGGUCGUGCCUUGGUACGUACUGGUAUCAUUGGUUUCUCCUUUCUGACGAACCAUGAUGUCAUUAAUUUGGUGUUAUGGGAAGUUAGGACUGUUACUUUGAAAAAAUUAGAGUGUUUAAAGCAGGCUUUAGCUUG
RNAcentral lists this ribosomal RNA (200 nucleotides) under uncultured Glomus. Its description in RNAcentral is "partial small subunit ribosomal RNA". It matches the Rfam family "Eukaryotic small subunit ribosomal RNA", at positions 591 to 797 of the family's 1831-position model. The record is from RNAcentral. Lineage: Eukaryota; Fungi; Glomeromycota; Glomeromycetes; Glomerales; Glomeraceae.